CCUGGUGGCCAUAGCAAGUGGGUACCACCCGAUUCCAUUCCGAACUCGGUAGUGAAAACGCUUAGCGCCGAUGAUAGUGUGGGGCUUCCCCACGUGAAAGUAGGUCACUGCCAGGC
This 116-nucleotide ribosomal RNA is filed under the name Candidatus Kentrum eta. Lineage: Bacteria; Pseudomonadati; Pseudomonadota; Gammaproteobacteria. The record is from RNAcentral.